Molecule: non-coding RNA, 650 nt
Organism: Peromyscus maniculatus bairdii (prairie deer mouse)
Lineage: Eukaryota; Metazoa; Chordata; Mammalia; Rodentia; Cricetidae
Source: RefSeq, a predicted model, not a curated record
CUGUGGAGUGGCAGUGAGGAGGGCAACCACCAGUAGCUGGGCUUGACUAGGACAGAAAGAGCUGGAGAAGCCAUCUGAUAGCUUUGCUGGGGUGCUCUGUGUACUACGGAGUAGAGCAACCUGGCUCUUUUGGGUGUAUACAGUUUCACCUAGCCCAGGAUGACCAUAGAUUUUAUGUGCAGUUAUUGGCCUUGGACAUCUAUCCUCUUUUACCUUCUCUGUGUAGUGCCGAGGAUCAAACCCUGGCUUCAUGCAUGCCGGGUUUUUAUUAAGGCCAAUUAGGAUUUGUGCAACAACAGUCUCCUUGAGAUUAAAACGUUCCAUCCAGGUCAAUGCAAGCUCCUUAAGCAGGGAGGUCAACAACAAGAAAAGUUUCAAGAAUUCCCUGAAACUGACCAGAUUCCCUGGUAAACAAUGGAAGCUGAGAGUGCCUCUCAGAGAAAUGAAGCUGUGCUACUCAGACUUUGGGAGGAGAAAAGCUGCAAAACAGACUUGGAGACCAGCAAAGCUACCAGGCAGAGGUUUAGGCCAAUAGAGGUGCCUGGGAAGAAGACUCUCCACCUUGUUAAGCUGCCACCCAUGCUGGGGUGGACUUUAGUGAUGCAGCUGUCUUUAAGUCAUUUCUGCUUCUGUCAGCAACCCCAAUAAAA